GCCUAACACAUGCAAGUCGAACGGAGGCCCGAAGCUUGCUUCGGAUACCUUAGUGGCGAACGGGUGAGUAACACGUGGGAAUCUACCUAAAAAUGGGGAAUAACUGUUGGAAACGACAGCUAAUACCGCAUAAUCCUUUCGAGGUAAAGGCUUCGGCCGUUUUUAGAUGAGCCCGCGCUAGAUUAGGUUGUUGGUGGAGUAAUAGCCCACCAAGCCUGCAAUCUAUAGCUGGUCUGAGAGGAUGAUCAGCCACACUGGGACUGAGACACGGCCCAGACUCCUACGGGAGGCAGCAGUGGGGAAUAUUGGACAAUGGGGGAAACCCUGAUCCAGCAAUGCCGCGUGAGUGAAGAAGGCCCUAGGGUUGUAAAGCUCUUUCAGAAGUGAAGAUGAUGACUGUAACUUCAGAAGAAGAUCCGGCUAACUCCGUGCCAGCAGCCGCGGUAAUACGGAGGGAUCUAGCGUUGUUCGGAAUUACUGGGCGUAAAGGGCGCGUAGGCUGUAUGAUUAGUCAGAGGUGAAAUCCCUAAGCUUAACUUAGGAACUGCCUUUGAUACUGUCAUACUAGAGAAUGAGAGAGGUGAGUGGAAUUCCAAGUGUAGAGGUGAAAUUCGUAGAUAUUUGGAAGAACACCAGUGGCGAAAGCGGCUCACUGGCUCAUUUCUGACGCUGAGGCGCGAAAGCGUGGGUAGCAAACAGGAUUAGAUACCCUGGUAGUCCACGCUGUAAACGAUGAAUGCUAGCCGUUUGAGGUUUUACUUCAAGUGGUGCAGUUAACGCGUUAAGCAUUCCGCCUGGGGAGUACG
This 806-nucleotide ribosomal RNA is filed under the name uncultured Alphaproteobacteria bacterium. RNAcentral's name for it is "bacterial SSU rRNA". It matches the Rfam family "Bacterial small subunit ribosomal RNA", at positions 46 to 884 of the family's 1533-position model. Lineage: Bacteria; Pseudomonadati; Pseudomonadota; Alphaproteobacteria. The record is from RNAcentral.